This 78-nucleotide transfer RNA is filed under the name Porphyromonas catoniae ATCC 51270. RNAcentral describes it as "tRNA-Pro". It matches the Rfam family "tRNA". From Rfam's summary of the family: Transfer RNA (tRNA) molecules are approximately 80 nucleotides in length. Their secondary structure includes four short double-helical elements and three loops (D, anti-codon, and T loops). The record is from RNAcentral. RNAcentral also lists the same sequence under 1 other name. Lineage: Bacteria; Pseudomonadati; Bacteroidota; Bacteroidia; Bacteroidales; Porphyromonadaceae.
CGGGAUGUAGCUCAGCCCGGUUAGAGUACUCGUCUGGGGGGCGAGUGGUCGCUGGUUCGAAUCCAGUCAUCCCGACAA